Molecule: small nuclear RNA, 106 nt
Organism: Callorhinus ursinus (northern fur seal)
Lineage: Eukaryota; Metazoa; Chordata; Mammalia; Carnivora; Otariidae
Source: RefSeq, a predicted model, not a curated record
GUGCUCGCUUCAGCAGCACAUAUACUAAAAUUGGAACGAUACAGAGAAGAUUAGCAUGGCCCCUGAGCAAGGGAAGGUUUAUGCCAUGGAAAUUGAUAAAUGCUCU